RNAcentral lists this ribosomal RNA (429 nucleotides) under Acidobacteriota bacterium. Its description in RNAcentral is "Acidobacteria bacterium partial 16S ribosomal RNA". It matches the Rfam family "Bacterial small subunit ribosomal RNA", at positions 355 to 776 of the family's 1533-position model. Lineage: Bacteria; Pseudomonadati; Acidobacteriota. The record is from RNAcentral.
UGGGGAAUUUUGGACAAUGGGGGAAACCCUGAUCCAGCCAUCCCGCGUGUGCGAUGAAGGCCUUCGGGUUGUAAAGCACUUUUGGCAGGAAAGAAACGUCAUGGGUUAAUACCCCGUGAAACUGACGGUACCUGCAGAAUAAGCACCGGCUAACUACGUGCCAGCAGCCGCGGUAAUACGUAGGGUGCAAGCGUUAAUCGGAAUUACUGGGCGUAAAGCGUGCGCAGGCGGUUCGGAAAGAAAGAUGUGAAAUCCCAGAGCUCAACUUUGGAACUGCAUUAUUAACUAACGGGCUAGAGUGGGGCAGAGGGAGGUGGAAUUCCGCGUGUAGCAGUGAAAUGCGUAGAUAUGCGGAGGAACACCGAUGGCGAAGGCAGCCUCCUGGGAUAACACUGACGCUCAUGCACGAAAGCGUGGGGAGCAAACAGG